CUAGAGUAGUAGUUAGGGGGUCAGAUUGUAAAGCCCAUUCCUGAUUAAGGCACUUGAAUUUAACAUUAAACUUACUGGAAGCUAGUAGAGCAUUCAGUGCAAGUGUAUGCAGUGGUCAUAUUAAAUUUACUUUAAAAAUCAAUGUGGAUAGGCAUGAGAGGAGUGAGUCUAGAGGCAAGAGGCAUAAUUAGGUGGCACCAUAAUAGUCCAGAAGUGAUCUGAGGCCUUAACUAGCCCAGUGGUUGGCAUUUUUUUGACUAGGAGUUUGUCUUCCUUCUUGGCUGUGAUGUCUCAAGUAACAAGGAUGUGGUCUUGUUCAUCUUUGUUUAUCCAGUGCCUUCUACCACACCUGACAUGCAGUGAAUUAACCUAGUAGAAAAAAAAAAUUCUAAAAGUAGGGGUUUCUUAAUUAUUCCAUUGGACUAUGAGAGUAUCUUAUAUCAUAUGAUCACUUAAAAUUCUUUAUGAAUAUAAGAAUUUUUUGUAUUAGAAUUGCUAUAGUGAUUUAAUUGUGAGUUUCAAUCAUGAAAUUUUAUAUGUGUGUGUGUGUGUGUGUGUAAUAUAUGAACUAGCCUCAAUUUACUCCAAUGUUGGCCUUUAAAAUAACAAUGAUCCAGUAGUUCUCUCUGGGCCAAGCAUGUACUUGAGGUUUUUUUCCAAGUAGUAGCAAUGAAUGAAUACAUUCUAAUACAUAAUUCUUACUCCAUUCCUGUUGUGUAAAAUAACAUGCACAACCAGCUUGUUUGAGCAAUUAGAACAUGUUAAAUUCAAACCUUCCUAUGGAUUAGCUCUUUCCCCACCUUGGAUUGAAGUCUCAGGUGAGCACCAUAUCUUUUUCAUUCAUGUCUGUACAAUAAAAUUAGUACUCUAGUCAUAUAUGGUCACGUGACAAUCUCAUUUCAGUGAUCAAAGUGAACUCCCAAUUUCAUAUAAAGUUCAAAGCUUCUCUUCUCCUCAUUUUGGUCCUACUUCCCAUGAGGAAACAUCCUGCUAUCCUCCUAACCACCAGCCCUGGAGUCUGACCCUUCCUUGUUGGGGCAGGAAGGAAGAGUGAGACGGGGCAGGCAUGCUCGCCAUCUGUGUUGGCUUGCAGUGUGUAUGCAGCUGACGUGUGGUUCUCUCACCAGAGUCAUCUUUUGCUUGAAUGCUUUAACUGCCCCUCCAUGUCACCAUCAAUUAGGACCCCAUAGAUUCUCUAUGCUAAGGUUACUUAUGCCUAGAAAAAUCCUUUCAGAAGAUGCCCUUAGCCAGCUCUCAUCUAAAGGACCCACAUUUGGUCCACAGAGCCACACACUCUGCUCUGUCAUCAGGAGUGCUGCUGGCCCUAAGUACAGCCGUAUCUUUUCACUCUGCCCCUGAGGAGGCGGUUCUUUUGCCUGACAUUUCUCAGGAAUGGACUGAACAAACACAGGUCCUCUCUGUCCUCCAAACCUUAAGAAAUAAAGGUGGGCGUCUCUGAGAGGGGCUCUCAAAGCCUGUCUUGUAGGCGAGGGGGAUGGAAAAUUACUAUAGCUUUCAGCAACUUCCUCCAGAGAAAUUCAUUUGUUUCUUUCAGUCCCUCCAAUUUCAACUCUUUGAGAUCUUUGAGGUAGAUUUCGAGUCACCAGGUGGUUGUAGUCCACUUCCUUUCAAGUCUUGAACAGGAGGAAUAGUGCCUCAUUUUAGAAUAGAGGAGAAUACGCCACCUAUUAUUGCUUUGUACUUAAUUUGGGAGGGCCUCCCCCAAAACUUAGAAAGGAUACAUCCCUAAUACCUUGUUACACAUGCAGGUGUGAGAUGUGUGUAAAACAUGGCCGUUAACGAGAAUAAAACUACUCUGUUUAUGGGGAUUUAAAUGCUUAAACUUGGCCAACAAUAUUGGACGUCAUUUAAAAAAUGUAGAAUCACAUAUAAACCAGUCAAUCAACUAAGUCAACAAAAAUUGCUCACCAUUUGUUUCCUAAAUGCUGGUGUUACUCUGGGUGCUUGAUGUACAAAAAUUAUGCAUACGGUUCUUUUCCUCAUGAGGCCAGUCAUCUAUGGGAAAAUCAUAUGCUGAAAUAUGUCCAAAAGUAAUCACAAUAUAAUUCAACAUCACAGUAGAGGGAUCUACAGAGAUCUCCAGGAGCACAAAAGAUAGAGCAUCUGAAUUUCAAAAAGGCUUCACAGGGGAGAUUUGAACUGGAUAUUGAAGGGAGAUAGGCCUUCCCUGGGAAGAAGGGAGGGAAGGGCAUUCCAGAUGCACACUGAUUGUGUAAAGGUAAGAAAAGGACAGUUGGGAUACUGUGAUGUGGGCAUAGUGAAGAGGUGUGGCUGGUACAUGGUGAGAUGUGGAUUUAGGGAUUGAAAAGCUCUGUUUUAUGCCAAAGAGUUUCAACUUCUCCAUACAGACAAUGGGAAAUUAUCAUUAUUGUUUUGCACUUCAAGUGUUUAUUUAAAAAUACUGCACACAUAUUGUAUGUCACUGUUUAAAGGUGAUCAUAUACUUAAAGAUUUUUCCCUUUUCCUUUUUCAGUUGGGUUCCCCCAACUCUUCUCAGUAUCUGCUCUCCCUUCCCUAUACACCUCUUUCCUUCCCCAAUUCGUGUGAACACUUACGUUGUAGCCUUUGUUUAUUUUCUCCUUGGUUACAUAAUCAUAUUCAAGUAUGUGUGAAUAUAUAUAUAUUCAAUAUCCAUAUACACACAACUUUUUUUGGCCAUUGUUUGCUUUAUGAAAGAACACUUUGCAUAUUUUUCAGCAGUUUGCAUUUCUUACUCAACUAUUCUUAGAGGAAAUAUCUCUACCUCCACAGGUGGAGUUCAUUGAAGGGAUGGACAUGACCCGAAUUUUAUAUCAGAGGUGUCAUGUUGGAGGAGACGAUGAAUUAAAAAGGUGUUGGAAACUAGAGGAGGAGGGUAAAUUGAUAAAUAAGCAGGUAACAGAUGAUGGGACCUGAGCAAAUGCAGUUUUGAUAAGAACCUGUUCUUAGCACAUUGGAGCCUCAAAUAAAAAAUGAGUUGCCAUAUAUAUAUAUAUAAUCUCUCUCUCCAUAAAAUGCCAAGGGCCACCAUUAUUAAAUUCUCAAAUUUUAUAAAUAGAUUCUUUGAAUGUGCUGCUUGGAGAAACGUAGGUUCAAAAUACCACUAGCUUUGCUAGAGUUUUUAGAAAGGUGCAUCAUUCAUCCACACACAUCCAUAUUUCUCUACUUCCUCCUUUAUUCUCCAAAUUUUUCUGCAAAAUAUCUUUAAUCUCAAACUUAUUUUGGAACUUAAAUGGCAUAUGGGCACACAGCAAGAGGGUGGCAAUCUGUGAACCAGUACACAGCCCUCAACAAGAACUGAAUUGUGGCAUCUCAUUCUCCCCCCAGUUGUACUGAGAUAAAAUUCACAUACAGUGUUGUGUAAAUUUAAGGUGUGUAAUGUGUUGAUUUGAACACACUUAUAUAAUGCAAAAUGAUUACUACAGUGGCAUUAGUUAAUUCCAGCAUCAGUUCGAAUGAAAAUGGUAUCUCACUAUUGUUUAAAUUUGCAUUUGCCUCAUUGUGAAUGAAUAUUUAUUUAUUUAUUUGAAUAUUUAUUUAUUUAUUUAUAAUAUUGUGGAUGGAUAUUUAUUAUUUAUUUAUUUAUUUAUUUAUUUAUAUAUGGAUUUAAAAUCCCAAUCAAGAUGUAAAUUGAUGCUAUAAGAGGAAAUGAAAAUUAGUGUAUACUGGAGAAUGAAUCCAUAAAUUUGGUAUAGCACCAUUUAUCUUCAUAACAUUUAAAUUUCUCAGUUUGCUACAUUAAGUCAAACUCUUACAGUCAGGAUUUAUCAAGGCAGUUGUAUUUCAGAGCUCAACUUGGGACACAGAACCUAUCUUUGAGGCAGAGGACUAUUUGCUUAUGAAAGAGCAAAAUCAUAAUUAAUUUUAAAGGCAGUGGAGAGAAGGUAAAGGCAUAAAAGGUGAUGAACUUCUUUUCUUCAUUUGAGCAAUUUGUUUGAAUUUAUAUGUUUUUGAUCUGUCAUACCUUCCCAAUUUGAAUAACUCUUUGUGUGGUUAUAAAGGUGAAUUAAAAUCAAUGCAAAAUACUGGUCUCAGAUGGCAGCUGGUCACAUCUGCAUGAAGUCUUUGCUUUCCUGUUUACUACACAACUGACUGGAAUGUGGACUGGAAAAAAGUGACCCUUUUAACAAUCAUCUACAUUCUAUGUAGAGUGCUUUUGAUGUAAAGAAGUACGGUGUGAUUUGAAAUGGUGUUUGAACUGCCCCUUAAAUAAUAAUUAAUUUUUCUUUUAAAUGAAGCUUUUGUUUUAAGUGAAAAAAAUUUUUGCUCCUAUGAAAUAAAAACAGGAAUAUAGGAAGUACAGGGUGGUCCAUAUAACAUAAUAGAUCACUAUAACACAAGACACAAAAUGGGAACUGUUUUUCAUGUAACCUACGCAAUAGUGGCCGACUUCCCACAUAACAGAAAAAUAAACCCUGGUAAGGAAACUAGUGAUUUUUUUUAAUUGAUUUUGAAUUUUAGAGAGGCAUUUUGAAGAGAAAAAAGAGAAAGAAGGAUGGAAGGAUAAAAAGAAGGAAGGAUAGAAUGAAUCAAUCAAUUAGUCUUGGGAUUUUGGGCAGUGGAACGGUUCUGGUUCAAACUUUCCUCCUACCAUUAUUAUUACUAUUAUUUUUUGGAGUAAGUCACUUAAACACCCCAAGUUUUGUUUUCUUCACAUAAGAAGUAGAGAUAACAAUACAUAUCUUAAAGAGUUUCUAUGAAAAUGAAGUGAGUGACUUUAUGCAUUGAGUAAUUUAUUCCUGACACACAUAGUAGCUCUUUCCUUUCAAAAUUUUCCUUUGGGAGUGUAGAAAUAUUUUUGGGAGUGUAAAAAUAUUUUUUUCCACAUCUAUAGAAUUAGAAUGAACUGUUUUCAUUGAAUGUAUUAUUUUGAACAAAUUCUGAUGCCAUUCCUAAGUGGCCCAAAACACUAAAAUUUUCUUGUAGGAUACAUUUUAUUCUAUACAGUUUAAACUUGGCAGCAUUUCUCCAGUGUAUUCCCAGAAUUUUAGUCUAAUGAAAUCUCCCUUAUAAAGAAGGUUUUCUUAAUCCCAUUCAUUUGGGAAAUGCUGAACUCUACCCUGUUUCCCUUUUGAGAAGUCCUCUGGUCAAGGAAAUUUAAAUUUAUUUAAGCCUGUGUUUCCUACUUUAUUUGGCCAUGGAAAUUCUUUGUAGGUAGCUUCUAUUUAUACGCCAUGGAAUAAAUUGAUCCAAUUUACUAUACCAACCCUAUAUGCAAAUAUGGUCAUACUUUUUAUUUUCAAAAAUUUUUUUGAAGGCUUGAUUUCCCAUGACUAGCAGGAACUCUCAUGUUGGGCCAAUAGCUCCAUCACUCCCCAUCCUACCUGCAUUCUCUUGAGUUGUCUAAGACCUCUGACACUUACUCAGUCCUAAUGGAGGUUUUUCUUUUUGCAAAUACAGAGCAGAGGGUGAACAGUAAUCCUGAUUUUCCUCUGCUGAAGACUGGUUUUGCACAGUCCAACAGAAGCUGGCCUAUAUGCCUCUCUUUGUUAGUCCUGAUAUUGAUCACUGGUGCCCUGUACUGGGGCACUAAUGUUAGAGUGCCAUUUUAUAAUAAUUUCUCAGUCACAGAUCCACAGAGUGCAACACAGUUUAGAGCGUCUGGCUCCAGAGUCAGCCUUGCUUCCUAAGCACAGAGGCUCUAAUGCUGCAUCUGAGUGUCCAGCUUGGAUUCCACUUGCCCUCUUAGUGAGUUCUUGCUUGGGGAUUUGGUGUUCUUUUGGACCAGGAGACCAUGGACAGACUCGACUUAGUCUAUUUUAACAGUCUUUCAAACCUCACAUUUGGGAAAUAGAUGGUAGAAUCUUUGUAGCUUUCUUUCCUGAAGUCCUGUGGUCUCUCUAUUCAAAUUGGUUGAACCCAUCCCUUGGGCUCUGGAAUGACAAAGAGUAUCUGUGAGGAGCAGACUCAUUAAGUCUGAUCAGGGUCAUAGUAUAACUUUCCCUGGGACAACAAUUCCCUCCUUACCCUAUAUUUUCAUAAUUGAGAUGGGUCAUUCAACUGAACCAAGAGAUAUCUAUUACAUGCCAACCAUGUAUAAGGAAACUGUUUAAGACUGAGAUAUAGCGGUGCACACAAAAGAUAAUGUUUUUGCUCCGUUGGAGCUUAUGUUUUAACGUAGAAAAUGUACAUUAAAAUACAUUAUUUAAUGUAUAUUAAAUAAUAUACAUUAAUGAUGAAUCCUUUGAAGGAAGGAUAAGGGGAUAUAGUGAUGGGGGUAGGACUUUAUUGUGUAUAGCAUAGACAAUGAAGUCUUCUCAGCUAGAGUCUCACGUGAGCCUAGAACUUGAGGAAGUGAUGGAGCCUCUUCUAGGCAGAGGAAAAUAUAAUUGCACUAAGGGAAGGUUGCAUGGAAUGUUUGAGGAAUAGCUAGUAGUCUAGUGUUACUUGGUCAGAGUUAGUAAAAGAGUGAUAGGGGAUGAAAUUAGAGAAUAUGCAGGGUAAGUCGAGGAGAUGAUCCUGAGUGAUAUGGGAAGCCAACGGAUUGUUGUCAACAAAGUUUUGACAUGAUUUAAUUUAUAUAAAGAUUAUUGGAUACUGUAUGGAGAAUAGACUCUGAGAAUGACAUGGUUAGAAACACAGAGAUACAUUUAAAAGCCCAUUGCAAUAGCAUAGUGACAGAUGACAGUGAUUUCAACUGGGGUGUUAGAAGUAUUAAGAAGUAGUUUGUUAGGAGUACAUAUUGAAGGUAGAGCUUAUGAGAUUUUAUUGAUGGAUUGAAUGUGGGGUAAAAAGAAAAGCAAAGGACCUAUUAUGACACUAAAUUUUGUAGCAUAAAAAAAUCAUAGGAGUUCCUGUCAUGGUGCAGUGGAAAUGAAUCUGACUAGGAACCAUGAGGUUGUGGGUUCGGUCCCUGGCCUCGCUCAGUGGGUUAAGGAUCCGGCAUUGCUGUGAGCUGUAGUGUAAGUCGCAGACGCUGCUUGGAUCCUGCAU
This 6933-nucleotide long non-coding RNA is filed under the name Sus scrofa (pig). RNAcentral describes it as "lncRNA (ENSSSCG00015047450.1)". Lineage: Eukaryota; Metazoa; Chordata; Mammalia; Artiodactyla; Suidae. The record is from RNAcentral.